Rhododendron vialii is the source of this 2265-nucleotide long non-coding RNA. RefSeq lists it as uncharacterized. NCBI's taxonomy places the organism in Eukaryota, Viridiplantae, Streptophyta, Magnoliopsida, Ericales, Ericaceae. The transcript is spliced from 3 exons. The record is from RefSeq and is a predicted model, not a curated record.
AAUUUCCGACUAACUAGUUAGUCGGUAACUCUUUUCUAAUAUGAAACGGCACCGUUACACCUUAUCAAAACUCAUCCAGUUAUACGCUUCCCCCAUUCUCCCUCACUGCGUCAAUCAGUUCGUCUCCCUCUCAAUCGACCACCACCGUUCCUGCUCCUCUCUCCUCCGACUGUGCCUCUCUCUCGCACGCUCGCUCCUGCUAGUUACUCUCUCUCUCUCUCUCUCUCUCCAGCCAUUGGCGAUUUCUCCACGCCUCUCUCUCUCUCUCAAUCACCUCCUGGUUUUAUGUGAAUCUAGGGUUCCGAUUGAAGCCAUGGCUAGCUAUCUCGCUGCUUAAAUCCACAACUUGUUGUAGCCGUCUUCAAUUUCACAAUGGUUUAGGUCCAUCUGUAAAUCGUUGGGGCGCCUUACUUCAAUCAUUGUCUUGUUCUCUCGUCGAACAGCCGACGCCGCUCUGCUUCUCCUCAACAACUCCAGGUCCUGAAUUUUCUCGGAGGAGAGGUUAAAUUCACCCCUAAAAUGAAGUUCGUAUCACGAUCCUCUACGGAAUGGGUACGCUGCUAUAGAGUUCUUGAUGACAAUGGUCAGCCAAUUACCAAAUUGCAAUUUUGUUCAGCAGCUGAAGAAAACUAUUUGACACCUUAAAAUUGCACCUUAAAACACCUCUUAAGGCAAUAAGAAUGAACUUGCUACCAAAGAAGGCAAUAAUAGCAGUAGAAAUGAGCACGGAAGAGCCCAAUAGCAGCAGAAAGCUAGUGACACCAUAUGGAAGUUCAUUAGCAGCAACAGUGACAGCCAAAUUUGAGACCAAAGAGUAACAAGAACAACAGCACAACAGCGACAAACCACAACAAAUGAACUUCACACUUAACAACAUACUUUGCAGAAAAGGUAUGAUUGUCACCUUUAUGGUGUGAGUUUCUCCUAUAAGAGCAAGUGUUUUUGGGUAUCAUUGUGGCUACAUGAUGUAGUUAACUUAUCAAGAUUGUUCCUUGGGGAUUUAUUUGUUACUUAAAGCUAGAAUCGUGUAGGUUCAAUUGUUGGCUUCAAAAUGGGAGGAGAUGUACCUUGAGGCUUCAAUCAUAGUAGAAUAUUUGGUGUUUGCUUAUUGACCCUUUUGUAGCUUUGUCAAGUUGACCCUUUUGUAGCUUUGUCAAGUUGACCCUUUCAUUUAAUUAUGUUCUCUCUAUUGGAAUUUGUAGGUAUUUCAUGUUAGUCGUUUAUCUUUCUUCAAUCGUGAAUUGAAACUAUCUUAGGUUGGUUGAUUCAUGUACAAAAUUGUCAGGCGUCAUCGUGAUCAAUGUGCCAAGUUGAAUCUUUACAUCCUUUACGUACUACACUCAUGAAUUAGAUGGCUUUAAAUUUGGCAUUUUUUCCAGGAGUUAAGUACUAGCCUAUACUUAUAAAUUACAAGAAUAUCUCCCCGUCAUGCCUUCAGGCUCGGGCGAUUUCAUGAAUAUGCUUGGGUCAUUGUUUUUUGCAUAGUUAAAUUUGUUGGACAGGGGUUGAAAUAUUGCGCGAAAUAUUGCGCGAGUCCAGUAUUUAUUUGCAUGUGCUGGUCAUUCGAGCCAUGCCUUUAGUCACGGGCAUGCCACUAGGAAGGUGGACUCUCAAUGACUGACAUUAAAAGCCUCUCAGAAGGUGGACUCUCAAUGACUUUGGCAAGGGAAAAGAGGGUCAGUGAUCUUGACUUCUAUUUUAUGUGUUAGAUAUGCAAAGUUUCAAGGUUGGACCUUUUUCUCAUUUGAGUAUGUGUUACUUUGUCAUGCAUCGGUUGGUAAAUAUUGUUUAUCUCCUGAAAUUAAUUGUUUGCUAGCUCCUUAGAAAUCCUAUCGAAAAUUGUGCUAUUUGAACUCUUUUACUAUUUAAGGUGUUCAACGUGACUGUGCAAUUGUAUGUGUUAAUUUUCAGGUAAUGGGCAAAUUAAUCUAUUUCAUUCUGGACAGAGCAAUCACAUUUGGCACUAAGGUGCUUUCCAAGAGCCAAGGGGUUGCUAGGGAGUCAUAUUGGGUGAAUGUAGGAAAGCCACAAUAAUAUCAUAUUAUCGGUUCUAAGGUAUCUAUUUCGAUCGUCUCAGGCGAUGGGACUGGUUUUUUUUCUUGAUGUUCAUAUCUUAGGCGACGGGACCAUUUUUUUUUUUUUUCUGUUGUUCAUGUCUGAGGCGGCGGGACCAUUUUUUUACUUUGUUGUAGUUUGUCUGUGUCUGGCCCAUUUGUAAUUUUGGAUAGUUGCUAUUACGUCGCGUGCAGGGGGAAUUCCUACGAA